GAUGAACGCUGGCGGCGUGCCUAAUACAUGCAAGUCGAGCGAACAGAUGAGGAGCUUGUUCCUCUGACGUUAGCGGCGGACGGGUGAGUAACACGUGGAAAACCUACCUAUAAGACUGGGAUAAUUUCGGGAAACCGGAGCUAAUACCGGAUAAUAUAUUGAACCGCAUGGUUCAAUAGUGAAAGACGGCUUUGCUGUCACUUAUAGAUGGAUCCGCGCCGCAUUAGCUAGUUGGUAAGGUAACGGCUUACCAAGGCAACGAUGCGUAGCCGACCUGAGAGGGUGAUCGGCCACACUGGAACUGAGACACGGUCCAGACUCCUACGGGAGGCAGCAGUAGGGAAUCUUCCGCAAUGGGCGAAAGCCUGACGGAGCAACGCCGCGUGAGUGAUGAAGGUCUUCGGAUCGUAAAACUCUGUUAUUAGGGAAGAACAGAUGUGGAAGUAACUAUGCACGUCUUGACGGUACCUAAUCAGAAAGCCACGGCUAACUACGUG
This 497-nucleotide ribosomal RNA is filed under the name uncultured bacterium. Its description in RNAcentral is "partial 16S ribosomal RNA". It matches the Rfam family "Bacterial small subunit ribosomal RNA", at positions 28 to 507 of the family's 1533-position model. The record is from RNAcentral.